Molecule: small RNA, 3108 nt
Filed under: Mytilus galloprovincialis (Mediterranean mussel)
Lineage: Eukaryota; Metazoa; Mollusca; Bivalvia; Mytilida; Mytilidae
Source: RNAcentral
AUGCCACAACCCAUGAAUGCACACAAUGGAGAGGCACCCUUGAUUGAGAUUGCACCAGAAGAAAUAGUACAGGUCCAUCGACCGCCCAACAAUGAAAAUCAAGCUCCAGAACCACUUGUGCCACAACCAGCUCCAGAGCCAGUUCAACAGAUACCAGAGCAACAACAAGCUCCAGCUCAGCUCAUACAGGCAAUACAACCAAAUGGUACCGUACCACAACAGAUUCAUGCUGCAGUACCAGCUCAACUUCCAGUUCAAAACCAAUCCAAUCAACAAGGGCACUUAGAUAGAAGAAAGGUACACGUCAAUAUGACCCAUUUUAACGGUAACAUUGAUGCUGCACAGUGGUGGACUACAUUUAUGUCAUUUAUUACCCUUCAAAGAUAUGAAGAAUGGGAAGCAAUAUUAUGCUUUCCUUUUUACUUAGAUGGUAUCGCUAAACAGUGGUGGCACAUGCUAGAUACUUCUGUAAACAGUUCAUUAAACCAUAUCAAAACUGCCUUUUUAAAUAGAUUUAGACCAUUAGAAGAAGAUGAUGUAGGCUUAACAAAUCUCAGACAAUUAGAGCAUGAAUCGGUUACUGAAUACAUUCAUAGGGCGUUAGGUUAUAACAAAGACAGAAGUGCUAUAGACAAAUAUUUGAUAAAAUUAACAUAUAGGGGAAUGAAAGAACAAAUUCAGCAAAUAGUUGUUCCUCAGAACCCAACUUCUAUGACGGAUUUACUAAAAAAAGCUGUCACCGCCGAAAUGACAGUAAAUAUGCGAAAAACUAACAACACUUCAGUUGAAGAUACAAUACACAAAGCCAUUUCAUCACUGGAGAAUACUAUGACAGAAAGAUUGGCAAAUCACUUUCAAUCUGUUGCAGCUAUUUCUACACCUCCACAACAUAAACAACAGAUAGAUAAUUCAACAAGUGCUUAUAAUAAUCAACAAAUGUGUUUUAAUCCAUAUCAACAGCCAUUUCAGAUGCCACCGCCAUAUAUGUAUCAACCAGUACAGCAUCAAUCAGUGCAGUAUCCACAAGCAGUUCAAUACCCUCAGCAAAACAUGCAACCACAGAACAGUUAUCAGAUCAGCAGACCAAAUUAUGCUAAUAAACAGAAUGGACCCUGUAAAGGCUGUGGUAAGUCUUGUAAGUCAAGGUCAUUAUGCCCCGCUUUUAAAAAGAUAUGCCAUCAUUGUAAGACCCAAGGACAUUUUAUUUCUGUUUGUGAUGAGCGAAUUAAGGCGAUGUCACAAGGCUAUAGGCAAUACCCAUAGGGAUACGGGCCUGCCUUAAGGCAACAGUCUGAGGGUAGGCACAAAGAUAAGGAAAUGGUAAAAACAAAAGAAUCAGAAACUAUUUUUACUAUAACGUCUCUUGACUCUGAAAAAUGUACAACACAAGUCACUGUGGGGGAAACCACAACCAAAGCUUUAAUUGACACCGGUGCAAACAUUUCUGUAAUUAGCAAACACUUCCUCAAUAAGACAACUUAUGCCAAUCAUAAUCUUAUGCCAGGUAAUGUGAGACAGGUAGUAGCUGCAAAUGGAAAUCAGGUCGCAGUUUUGGGUAAAAUUGAUAUAGUUGUUACAGUAGGUAGCACAAAAUUUAUUCAAACCGUACAUGUGCUUGAUCAGUUACAUCACACUCUAAUUCUUGGAUUUGAUUUCAUGAAAAAUCAAGGUGCUUUUAUAAAUUUUGAUGACCUUACAUUAGAAAUGAAUAAACCCAAGAUGAUUAUAGGGUCCAUAUCUAUAAAGGCAGGGUUAGUAAGGACAAUGGUCUCAGAAAGCAAGUAUUUUAGUUUAAGUGAUGGUGUUUUAAAUCAUUGGUACCAAAGACGAUGUCGUGGUUUAGCAGAAGAGUUUAAAAGAAUUAAACAAAUUGCCCUUCCUAAGUGUUUGCGACUUGAUGCAUUACAGUCUUAUCAUGGCUCUUUAGCUUCUGGAGGUCACAUCGGUAGGGAAAAAGUAUACAAUUCUCUAAUGGAAAAGUAUUGGUGGAAUAACAUGCACCAACAUGUUAUUGAUUAUGUCAAAUCGUGUGACAGAUGUCAAAGAGCAAAACAAAAUUGUAACCCUAACAGGCCUCCUCUUACAAAAAUGCCCCAAGUUGGUCGUUUUGAUAGGUGGCACAUUGAUGUUCUUGGUCCACUUACUAAAUCACCAGAUGGUUAUGAGUAUGUUUUGUUAGUCGUUGAUGCCUUUAGUCGAUGGUGUGAGGGAUUUCUUAUGAAGACUCAAAAUGCAAAAGAAAUAGCAGAAAAUCUUUACAAUGGAGUUGUAACUAGGUACGGUAGUCCAAGAGUCCUCUGUAGUGACCGGGGACAGGCUUUCUUGAGUAAGAUUGUCAAAGCUAUAUGUGAAAUCUUUCAAAUUACUCAACACCACACUUCUUCUUACCAUCCAAACACAAAUGGUACUGUGGAAAAACAAAACCAUACUCUUGCUCAAUCUCUUCGUACUUAUUGCAAUGAAAGUCAUGAUAAAUGGCCUUCUUUAAUCCCAAGUAUAAUGAUGGUUUUCAGAAGGUCUGUCUCAUCAGCUACAGGUUUUUCUCCUUUUUACAUGAUGUUUGGUCAGGAUAUGAAAAUUCCUUUUGAUAUAGCUCUAGAACCAAAAGAUAAUUUACCUCAGGACACAAAAACCUACCUCAACCAAUUUAUUUCCAAUAUGAAAGUUGCACACACAAUUGCACAUCAAAAUGAGGCAGUGAACAAGGAAAAAGACAAGGUUCGCCAUGAUGAGAAAGCAAAAACCCAAACUUUUGCUGUUGGUGAUUUGGUUCUAAUCAAAGUACACAAAUUUCCAACAGGAAUGUCACGUAAACUCUGUGACAAAGCUGAGGGUCCAUACCAUAUUGAAGAGAUUGGUCCAAAUCACAUUUAUGCUUUAAGAAGACAGUCUGACCAAAAGAAACAUAAAGCCCUCAUGAAUGCUACUAAUCUUCAACUCUAUACUCGCCCUGAACCAGUUCGUCAACGGUUGACUGUCCACCCACCAAAUCAAAAUGAUGCCCCAGAACCUGAUUCAGACACAGAAUCUCUAGAAGAUGAUGCAGAAAUCCAAGACGCACAUGACAAUGUAGUGCAACCCCCUCCCAACCCGUCAUUGACCCAUUGA